GACAUUAUAGCAAAGUGGUUAAUGCGGGGUACUGUUAAUACCUUUUCUCGCAGGUUCGAAUCCUGCUGGUGUCU
This 74-nucleotide transfer RNA is filed under the name Serendipita indica DSM 11827. Its description in RNAcentral is "Piriformospora indica DSM 11827 tRNA". It matches the Rfam family "tRNA". Rfam says of the family: Transfer RNA (tRNA) molecules are approximately 80 nucleotides in length. Their secondary structure includes four short double-helical elements and three loops (D, anti-codon, and T loops). The record is from Rfam by way of RNAcentral. Lineage: Eukaryota; Fungi; Basidiomycota; Agaricomycetes; Sebacinales; Serendipitaceae.